RNAcentral lists this long non-coding RNA (906 nucleotides) under Mus musculus (house mouse). RNAcentral describes it as "long non-coding RNA chr7:86443020-86443926". Lineage: Eukaryota; Metazoa; Chordata; Mammalia; Rodentia; Muridae. The record is from RNAcentral.
AGUUUUUGCUAAACUUGGGAGCUCAGGGUACUACUCAGUGUGCUGUUUCUGCUGGUGUAUCUGUGUAGCCUGUUAGGGAACAUUACCAUCAUCAUUGUUACUACAGUUGACCAGACCCUGAAAACACCCAUGUACUUCUUCCUCAGGAAUCUGUCCAUCUUAGACAUGUGCUACAUUUCCAUCACUGUCCCCAGUGCCUGUAUUAACUCUCUCACUGACCACAGGAAUAUUUCUGUGGCUGGGUGUGCAGCACAGAUCUUUUCGUUCUUAUUUUGUGCACUUGUAGAGACUCUUUCUUUUUCAUGGCCCAGGAUCGUUAUGUGGCCAUUUCAAACCUCUCCUCUAUCCUGUGAUCAUGAACCACCAGUUCUGUGUUCAGAUGACACUGGCUUCCCUACUUAGCUCACUUGUCAUUGCAAGUGUGCACACUUUCAAAACUUUCCAGCUGUCCUUCUGCCACUCUAAUGUGAUCCCUCAGUUCUUCUGUGAUCUUCCUGCUUUGCUGAGACUUUCUUGCUCUGACACCUUCAACAACAACCUCUUGAUACUUCCGACUGACAUUGGAGUCAGUGGUAGUUGCUUUGUCUUUAUUGCCAUAUCUUAUAUUCGCAUAUUAUCAACUGUAUUGAAGAUUCCCAUCAAAAGAGAGAGAGGGAAAGCCUUUUCUACCUGUGUCCCUCACAUUAUUGUGGUGUCUGUCUUUGUUAGUUCUGCUGCCUAUGUGUAUCUACGACCUCCAGUAAUAACCUUUGAAGUAGUUCAGGAAAUGAUUGUUUCUGUAUUUUAUACCAUGGUUCCACCAUUCUUAAACCCUAUCAUCUAUAGUCUCAGAAACAAACAGAUAAAGGAGGCUGUGAGGAAAGUUAUGUCACAAGUUUUUCCAAUAUUUGAAUAUAAAAGGAACAA